This 449-nucleotide ribosomal RNA is filed under the name uncultured bacterium. RNAcentral describes it as "partial 16S ribosomal RNA". It matches the Rfam family "Bacterial small subunit ribosomal RNA", at positions 29 to 523 of the family's 1533-position model. The record is from RNAcentral.
AACGUACGCUGGCGGCACGCCUAACACAUGCAAGUCGGACGCAGUAGCAAUACUGAGUGGCAGACGGGUGAGUAACAUGUGGGAAUCUGCCUUGUGGCUCAGGACAACAUUGGGAAACCGAUGCUAAUACUGGAUAAGCCCUUACGGGGAAAGUUUUAAUGCCAUAAGAUGAGCCCGCAUUUGAUUAGUUAGUUGGUGAGGUAAUGGCUCACCAAGACAAUGAUCAAUAGCUGAUCUGAGAGGAUGAUCAGCCACACUGGGACUGAGACACGGCCCAGACUCCUACGGGAGGCAGCAGUGGGGAAUCUUGCACAAUGGAGGAAACUCUGAUGCAGCGAUGCCGCGUGAGUGAAGAAGGCCUUUGGGUUGUAAAGCUCUUUUGUAGGGGAAGAUAAUGACUGUACCCUAAGAAUAAGGUCCGGCUAACUUCGUGCCAGCAGCCGCAGUAA